CCUACGGGAGGCUGCAGUGGGGAAUAUUGGGCAAUGGGCGCAAGCCUGACCCAGCAACGCCGCGUGAAGGAAGAAGGCCUUCGGGUUGUAAACCUCUUUUCUGAGGGACGAAGUAAGUGACGGUACCUCACGAAUAAGCCACGGCUAACUACGUGUCAGCAGCCGCGGUAAUACGUAGGUGGCAAGCGUUAUUCGGAUUUAGUGGGUGUAAAGGGCGUGUAGGCGGGAUAGCAAGUCAGGUGUGAAAACUCAGGGCACAACCCUGAGCCUGCAUUUGAAACUGUGUUUCUUGAGUGCUGGAGAGGCAAUCGGAAUGCCGGGUGUAGCGGUGAAAUGCGUAGAUAUACGGAGGAACACCAGUGGCGAAGGCGGAUUGCUGGACAGUAACUGACGCUGAGGCGCGAAAGCGUGGGGAGCGAACAGGAUUAGAUACCCCGGUAGUC
RNAcentral lists this ribosomal RNA (443 nucleotides) under uncultured bacterium. Its description in RNAcentral is "partial 16S ribosomal RNA". It matches the Rfam family "Bacterial small subunit ribosomal RNA", at positions 338 to 795 of the family's 1533-position model. The record is from RNAcentral.